GACGAACGCUGGCGGCGUGCUUAACACAUGCAAGUCGAACGGAAAGGCCUUGCUUUUGUGGGGUGCUCGAGUGGCGAACGGGUGAGUAACACGUGAGUAACCUGCCCUUGACUUUGGGAUAACUUCAGGAAACUGGGGCUAAUACCGGAUAGGAGCUCCUGCUGCAUGGUGGGGGUUGGAAAGUUUCGGCGGUUGGGGAUGGACUCGCGGCUUAUCAGCUUGUUGGUGGGGUAGUGGCUUACCAAGGCUUUGACGGGUAGCCGGCCUGAGAGGGUGACCGGCCACAUUGGGACUGAGAUACGGCCCAGACUCCUACGGGAGGCAGCAGUGGGGAAUGUUGCACAAUGGGCGGAAGCCUGAUGCAGCAACGCCGCGUGCGGGAUGACGGCCUUCGGGUUGUAAACCGCUUUCGCCUGUGACGAAGCGUGAGUGACGGUAAUGGGUAAAGAAGCACCGGCUAACUACGUG
Molecule: ribosomal RNA, 468 nt
Filed under: uncultured bacterium
Lineage: Bacteria
Description: partial 16S ribosomal RNA
Rfam family: Bacterial small subunit ribosomal RNA
Source: RNAcentral